UACCAGCUCCUCGAGUGGUCGGGGCGAUUAUUGGGCCUAAAGCAUCCGUAGCCUGUUCCGUAGGUCUUCUGUUAAAUCCAACGGCUUAACCGUUGGCCUGCAGGAGAUACCGCAAGACUAGGAGGCGGGAGAGGUGGACGGUACCCCACGUGUAGGGGUAAAAUCCUUUGAUCCGUGGAAGACCACCAGUGGCGAAGGCGGUCCACCAGAACGCGCUCGACGGUGAGGGACGAAAGCUGGGGGAGCGAACCGG
This 253-nucleotide ribosomal RNA is filed under the name uncultured bacterium. RNAcentral's name for it is "partial 16S ribosomal RNA". It matches the Rfam family "Archaeal small subunit ribosomal RNA", at positions 474 to 727 of the family's 1478-position model. The record is from RNAcentral.